RNAcentral lists this ribosomal RNA (440 nucleotides) under uncultured bacterium. Its description in RNAcentral is "partial 16S ribosomal RNA". It matches the Rfam family "Bacterial small subunit ribosomal RNA", at positions 338 to 795 of the family's 1533-position model. The record is from RNAcentral.
CCUACGGGAGGCAGCAGUAGGGAAUCUUGCGCAAUGGGCGAAAGCCUGACGCCGCAACGCCGCGUGAUCGAGACGCCCUUCGGGGUGUAAAGAUCUGUCUGUGGGGACGAAACUUGACGGUACCCACAGAGGAAGCACCGGCUAACUCCGUGCCAGCAGCCGCGGGAAUACGGCGGGUGCAAGCGUGGUCCGGAAGCAUUGGGCGUAAAGAGUUCGUAGGCGGUACGUAAAGGCUGGUGUGAAAGGCGUAGGCUCAACCUCUGUACGGCACUGGAUACUUGCGAGCUAGAAUGCGGUAGAGGUGAGGGGAAUUCCUGGUGUAGCGGUGAAAUGCUUAGAUAUCAGGAGGAACAUCGGUGGCGAAGGCGCUUUACUGGGCCGUAAUUGACGCUGAGGAACGAAAGCCAGGGUAGCAAAUGGGAUUAGAUACCCCAGUAGUC